UUAGCUGGUUGGUGGGGUGACGGCCUACCAAGGCGAUGAUCGGUCGCUGGUCUGAGAGGAUGACCAGCCACACGGGGACUGAGACACGGCCCCGACUCCUACGGGAGGCAGCAGCAAGGAAUUUUCCGCAAUGGGCGCAAGCCUGACGGAGCAACGCCGCGUGCGGGAUGACGCGUUUCGGCGUGUAAACCGCUGUUCGGGGGGAC
Molecule: ribosomal RNA, 206 nt
Filed under: uncultured bacterium
Lineage: Bacteria
Description: partial 16S ribosomal RNA
Rfam family: Bacterial small subunit ribosomal RNA
Source: RNAcentral